Molecule: ribosomal RNA, 207 nt
Filed under: uncultured bacterium
Lineage: Bacteria
Description: partial 16S ribosomal RNA
Rfam family: Bacterial small subunit ribosomal RNA
Source: RNAcentral
CGUGUAGGCGGCCAGACAGGUCAGCUGUGAAAACUCGAGGCUCAACCUCGAGACGUCGGUUGAAACCGUUUGGCUAGAGUCCGGAAGAGGAGAGUGGAAUUCCCGGUGUAGCGGUGAAAUGCGCAGAUAUCGGGAAGAACACCCGUGGCGAAGGCGGCUCUCUGGGACGGUACUGACGCUGAGACGCGAAGGCGUGGGGAGCGAACA